Molecule: ribosomal RNA, 421 nt
Filed under: uncultured bacterium
Lineage: Bacteria
Description: bacterial SSU rRNA
Rfam family: Bacterial small subunit ribosomal RNA
Source: RNAcentral
UGAGGAAUAUUGGUCAAUGGACGGAAGUCUGAACCAGCCAUGCCGCGUGAAGGAUGAAGGCGUUCUGCGUUGUAAACUUCUUUUAUCUGGGAAGAAACCACAGAUUUCUAUUUGUGUUGACGGUACCAGAAGAAUAAGCACCGGCUAACUCCGUGCCAGCAGCCGCGGUAAUACGGAGGGUGCGGGCGUUAUUCGGAUUUACUGGGUUUAAAGGGUGCGUAGGCGGGCUAUUAAGUCAGAGGUGAAAUCUCCGGGCUCAACCUGGAAACUGCCUUUGAUACUAUUAGCCUUGAAUUAUGUUGAGGUUGGCGGAAUAUAACAUGUAGCAGUGAAAUGCUUAGAUAUGUUAUGGAACACCGAUGGCGAAGGCAGCUGGCUAAACAUAUAUUGACGCUGAUGCACGAAAGCGUGGGUAGCGAAC